This 254-nucleotide ribosomal RNA is filed under the name uncultured prokaryote. RNAcentral describes it as "partial 16S ribosomal RNA". It matches the Rfam family "Bacterial small subunit ribosomal RNA", at positions 524 to 777 of the family's 1533-position model. The record is from RNAcentral.
UACGUAGGUGGCGAGCGUUAUCCGGAUUUACUGGGUGUAAAGCGCGUGCAGGCGGUCAUGCAAGUUGGGCGUGAAAUCUCCUGGCUCAACCGGGAGAGGCCGUUCUAUACUGCAGAGCUAGAGGAUGGUAGAGGGAGAUGGAAUUCCAGGUGUAGCGGUGGAAUGCGCAGAUAUCUGGAGGAACACCAGCGGCGAAGGCGGCCUCCUGGACCAUUCCUGACACUCAGACGCGAAAGCUAGGGUAGCAAACGGGA